AGCCUCAAAGGACCGAGGCUAGUGGCUAGAAGUGAACGCCAAGGAAUGUUGCAGGACGCAGCAUCAUCAGGAUGAUGACCAAGGAAGCGGU
Molecule: small RNA, 91 nt
Filed under: Azomonas macrocytogenes
Lineage: Bacteria; Pseudomonadati; Pseudomonadota; Gammaproteobacteria; Pseudomonadales; Pseudomonadaceae
Source: RNAcentral